Long non-coding RNA from Hyla sarda, 337 nucleotides. RefSeq lists it as uncharacterized. The record is from RefSeq and is a predicted model, not a curated record. The transcript has 3 exons. NCBI's taxonomy places the organism in Eukaryota, Metazoa, Chordata, Amphibia, Anura, Hylidae.
AAGCUAAAGGACAGGCAUGGACAAAGUCCAGAGUCCUCUGUGCGCUCUCCUGUCUGAUAGCACCGUGGGACCACGUCAGGACAGGGAUUGUGAAGCCCUGUGGUCUCCUCAUGCUUCAGCCAACUCCAGGCUGUGCCAUUCAGACACUAUAUGGUCUCCUCCUACUGAUGCCCCCUCCAGGCUCUGUCAUUGUGCUUCCAUGUGACUCCUUGGUAGAUUUGGUCCAUUGUACCCACACGCCGAGGCCCGGGACACUAAAACUUGGGAGUUAAAAGUUCCAUUUCAAAAUUCUCAAUUUCAAUUUCAAAAUCUUAAAUUUGUAUUUAAAAUUCUUAUA